RNAcentral lists this ribosomal RNA (135 nucleotides) under uncultured bacterium. RNAcentral describes it as "partial 16S ribosomal RNA". It matches the Rfam family "Bacterial small subunit ribosomal RNA", at positions 1358 to 1501 of the family's 1533-position model. The record is from RNAcentral.
UACGGUGAAUACGUUCCCGGACCUUGUACACACCGCCCGUCAAGCCAUGGAAGCCGGGUGUACCUAAAGUCGGUAACCGCAAGGAGCCGCCUAGGGUAAAACUGGUGACUGGGGCUAAGUCGUAACAAGGUACCC